GACGAACGCUGGCGGCGUGCUUAACACAUGCAAGUCGAACGGAAAGGCCCUGCUUUUGUGGGGUGCUCGAGUGGCGAACGGGUGAGUAACACGUGUGUAACCUGCCCUUGACUUUGGGAUAACUUCAGGAAACUGGGGCUAAUACCGGAUAGGAGCUCCUGUUGCAUGGUGGGGGUUGGAAAGUCUCGGCGGUUGGGGAUGGACUCGCGGCUUAUCAGCUUGUUGGUGGGGGAGUGGCUUACCAAGGCUUUGAAGGGUAGCCGGCACGAGAGGGUGACCGGGCACAUGGGUACUGAGAGACGGCGCAGACGCCAAUGGGAGGCAGCAGUGGGGAAUAUUACACAAUGAGAGGAAGCCUGAUGCAGCAACGCCGCGUGCGGAAUGACGGCCUUCGGGUUGUAAACCGCAUUCGCCUGUGACGAAGCGUGAGUGACGGUAAUGAGUGAAUAAGCACCGGCUAACUACGUG
This 468-nucleotide ribosomal RNA is filed under the name uncultured bacterium. RNAcentral describes it as "partial 16S ribosomal RNA". It matches the Rfam family "Bacterial small subunit ribosomal RNA", at positions 28 to 507 of the family's 1533-position model. The record is from RNAcentral.